UACGAAGGGGGCUAGCGUUGCUCGGAAUUACUGGGCGUAAAGCGCACGUAGGCGGCUACUCAAGUCAGAGGUGAAAGCCCAGGGCUCAACCUUGGAACUGCCUUUGAAACUAGGUAGCUAGAAUUCUGGAGAGGUGAGUGGAAUUCCGAGUGUAGAGGUGAAAUUCGUAGAUAUUCGGAAGAACACCAGUGGCGAAGGCGACUGACUGGACAGAUAUUGACGCUGAGGUGCGAAAGCGUGGGGAGCAAACAGG
This 253-nucleotide ribosomal RNA is filed under the name uncultured bacterium. RNAcentral's name for it is "partial 16S ribosomal RNA". It matches the Rfam family "Bacterial small subunit ribosomal RNA", at positions 524 to 776 of the family's 1533-position model. The record is from RNAcentral.